Molecule: ribosomal RNA, 655 nt
Filed under: uncultured Halococcus sp.
Lineage: Archaea; Methanobacteriati; Methanobacteriota; Halobacteria; Halobacteriales; Halococcaceae
Description: bacterial SSU rRNA
Rfam family: Archaeal small subunit ribosomal RNA
Source: RNAcentral
UCCGGAUACGGCUUUCACUCAGGAGCGAGGAAAGCCGGAAACGCUCCGGCGCCGAAGGAUGUGACUGCGGCCGAUUAGGUAGACGGUGAGGUAACGGCUCACCGUGCCGAUAAUCGGUACGGGUCGUGAGAGUGAGAGCCCGGAGACGGUAUCUGAGACAAGAUACCGGGCCCUACGGGGCGCAGCAGGCGCGAAACCUUUACACUGCGCGACAGCGCGAUAGGGGGAUCCCAAGUGCGAGGGCAUACAGUCCUCGCUUUUUCCGACCGUAAGGUGGUCGGCGAAUAAGAGCUGGGCAAGACCGGUGCCAGCCGCCGCGGUAAUACCGGCAGCUCGAGUGAUGGCCGCUAUUAUUGGGCCUAAAGCGUCCGUAGCCGGCUAGACAGGUCCGUCGGGAAAUCCACCUGCUCAACGGGUGGGCGUCCGGCGGAAACCAGCUAGCUUGGGACCGAGCGACCUGAGGGGUACGCCCGGGGUAGGAGUGAAAUCCCGUAAUCCCGGACGGACCAUCGGUGGCGAAAGCGCCUCAGGAGAGCGGAUCCGACGGUGAGGGACGAAAGCUAGGGUCUCGAACCGGAUUAGAUACCCGGGUAGUCCUAGCCGUAAACGAUGCUCGCUAGGUGUGGCGCUGGCUACGAGCCAGCGCUGUGCCGUA